CCGACGCGAAGCCUUUCCUGCCCCUUUGCCUCUCAGCCCAGGGAAUGGGGAACCUUUCUAUUCCUACCCCAAGGGGACGCCCCCAGCUCAGCACAUUCCCAACCCCUCAUGGAGUCCUUAAUUCCAAGGAACCCCAGACCCCUUUCCCCAAGAACUUCCUCUCUUUCAUCCAUCCCCAGGAGUUCCCCUUUUCAACUCUUCCUGAGUCUCCCUCAGCACCCCUCUCACUCCUUAACCCGAGGAGUCCUCUAGCCGCUACCCUGGGUCCCAGUCCCUUCCCUCCAACUGCUUCCUUCACAGGCCUCGCCAUCGCUUUCUAAAUAGCAUACGCUCUUUAAGACCCCUCUUCCCUCCCUGAGUCACCCGGUCCACCCGACUGUUCCUUUGAGUGGCAUAGAAGCGAGGAUACGUAGAAGGAACUCCCCUCGCACGUGUCUUUCCAGCAUUUACCUUUCUGUGUCAGAAAUAGCUGAGAGGUCUCACCCCUGGAUUGGGACGGAUGGAAGUGAUCAUGGGAAGCUUAAUUUGCACAACUGUAUCGGCUGCUAGGAUACUGGACACCUUCGCAGUUCUGUAACUUCAGCUCUACUAUCAUCUAGUGCCCCACCAAACCUGCCACCAGACCGACUCACCUGGACUGGCUCCUCCAAGACACCACUGCAAAUAGGAC
Lynx canadensis (Canada lynx) is the source of this 670-nucleotide long non-coding RNA. RefSeq lists it as uncharacterized. Lineage: Eukaryota; Metazoa; Chordata; Mammalia; Carnivora; Felidae. The record is from RefSeq and is a predicted model, not a curated record. The transcript has 3 exons.